This is a small nucleolar RNA of Echinops telfairi (small Madagascar hedgehog), 155 nucleotides long. NCBI's taxonomy places the organism in Eukaryota, Metazoa, Chordata, Mammalia, Afrosoricida, Tenrecidae. The record is from Ensembl.
CUUUUUUCUUGUUGGGAAACGAGCAUGCAGUCUAGCCCUCAUUACAGACAGAAGCACAGGGAAGGGGCUACCAUGCAAUCAAUUCCCUCACUGCCAUGUCUUCAGUGUCAGUGGCUUCCCAUCCACCAACUCUAUCCUUAAAUGACAGGACAAAG